Molecule: long non-coding RNA, 2032 nt
Organism: Mytilus californianus (California mussel)
Lineage: Eukaryota; Metazoa; Mollusca; Bivalvia; Mytilida; Mytilidae
Exons: 2
Source: RefSeq, a predicted model, not a curated record
UAUUAUUAUUAUUAUUAGGUCUUUCCACUUUUCUGUGGAAAGACCUAUUGUAUUUGUUCUGAUUAUUAUUAUUAGGUCUUUCCACUUUUCUGUGGAAAGACCUAUUGUAUUUGUUCUGAUUAUUAUUAUUAUUUUUUUUUUUUUUUUUUUCUUCCGCCAAAUUUUGUUCUUGCGAUAAAUGUUUGUUUCGCAAUAUGUCGCUUAGAUAUUUCUCAUAUUGUAUCGUAUAGUUUAUGCGCUUUUAAAUUUCACCCUGCUAAGCCGAACCAUUUUCUUUGUAAGAGUUAUCUCCCUAUUCACUGUUUAUCAUCUGUGUGCAUCUCCUUCGUAACAAAAAAAGAUAUCGACAAAAUUCUUUUUACAAAUUGUUCGUUACAUCCUCAGGAAUUUUUGGCUAAUUUGGAUCAAAGCGAUUUGAUGAAAUUUUAUAGGAGUUAUCUACCUUUAUCAAAUAAAUUUGUCGUUAUGUUUUUGUUACUCAUAAACUGUAAGCCGUAUAAACCUAUAGUCUUUUUAUUUAAGGUCCUUGGAUCCUAACUUCGAAAAUGAGGUCAAGGUCAAAGGUCAAGGUCAUGUUCUGAAUUUUGUCUUUUGCUUGUUUUUGCAUUUUCUCCGAUAUUUUUAAUGUUAUAUAUUAAAGAACAAGUGCAAAAUGUUUGUUAUAUUGUGAUGAAGAUAUGAUACAUUUGGUCUGAGACAAUCCAGCGACAUCUUAUUGGAGUUAUUGCCCCUGAAAUGUUUUAUUCUAAGGUAAAUGGAUUAUUACUUCAUAUUGGUACAUGAUAAAGCCAUAAGAUCUUUUGCAAAAUGUUGGGUGAUAUAUGACCUUGAAAAAUGUCAACCGGAAGUGACCUUGAGUGAACCGGAAGUAGUCAUUUUUGCACUUAUUUCAUGUAGAAGUACAUAGAAACCAUAUUUUUUUUGAAUGUCAUAAAUUAAUCUAUCAUUUGAGACCGGGAGUGAUAUUUUAUAAACCGGAAGUAGCAUAUUAUCUCAUUUUUUACAGGCAAAAGUAUAUAUAAACCAUAUAUUUUGGAAUCAGUGUAAAUAAAGCUAUCAUAUGAGACCGAAAGUGACAUUUUCUAAACCGGAAGUAGCCAAUUAUCUCCCGUUUUACAGGCAAAAGUAUAUAUAAACCAUAUAUUUUUGGAAUCAAUGUAAAUAAAUCUAUCAUAUGAGACCAGAAGUGACAUUUUCCAAACCGGAAGUAGCCAAUUAUCUCCCUUUUUACAGGCAAAAGUAUAUAUAAACCAUAUAUUUUUGGAAUCAGUUUAAACAAAGCUAUCAUAUGAGACCGGAAGUGACAUUUUCUAAACCGGAUGUUAACAAUUAUCUCCCUUAUUUCAGGCAAAAGUCUAUAGAAACCAUGUUUAUUGAAUCAGUAUGAAGAAACCUAUGAUUGGACGCCAAUAGUAGCUUUGAGUAAACCAGAAUUAUCUUCUCAUUAAUUAUUUAGAAAAUUGAUGUGGAAAGACCUUCAAUUGUUCUUUGAACAAUUGGUUUUUAAUUAUUAUUAUUAUUAUUUUUUUUUUUUUUUUUUUUCCCCCAACUUUUGAAAUUUUUGUUUCGCAAUAUGUCGCUUAGAUAUUUCUCAUAUUGUAUCGUAUAGUUUAUGCGCUUUUAAAUUUCACCCUGCUAAGCCGAACAAUUAUCUUUGUAAGAGUUAUCUCCCUAUUCACUGUUUAUCAAGUGUGUGCAUCUCCUUCGUAACAAAAAAAGAUAUCGACAAAAUUCUUUUUCUAAAUUGUUCGUUACAUCCUCAGGAAUUUUUGGCUAAUUUGGAUCGAAGCGAUUCGAUGAAAUUUUAUAGGAGUUAUCUAACUUUCUGAAAUAAAUUUGUCGUUAUGUUUUUGUUACUCAUAAACUGUAAGCCGUAUAAACCUAUAGUCUUUUUAUUUAAGGUCCUUGGAUCCUAACUUCGAAAAUGAGGUCAAGGUCAAAGGUCAAGGUCAUGUUCUGAAUUUUGUCUUUUGCUUGUUUUUGCAUUUUCUCCGAUAUUUUUAAUGUUAUAUAUUAAAGAACAAGUGCAAAA